CCAGAGACUAACUCCUUUCCUACUUGUUCGGGAUUGCGAUGCAGAAGAAGUAUUCUGGUAAGUAAUUUUUUUCCUCUCUCGGAUUUUGGCGGGCUCGCUUUAAAGAUGUCGAAAAGCGUUAACUGGCUCUACGUUUCUGCAGUGAAAAGAAUAAAUCGUAGCAUUCCACCCGCCUCUGACCCAUUAUCGUUAAGACUGGAUCUAGUAAUUCAUUCAUUAAAUUUUAUUAUCUUCUACGGUCGUUAGCCAUCCUCCCUUCGAUGACGAAAAGACCGGUGGAGAAAUGCCGCCACUUCCUCCCCAUUUUGUGCUUUUCUGUCGACCCAGUUAUUUUAUUAGCAGAAAUCAGGAGGAUUACGAGUGGUCUUUCGAUCCCGUGAACGGCGAAUCACGUUAUACCAAUGUGUGAUAUAAAGUAGCCCAUUUCAUCCGAUCUUGCACCCCUGCUUUGGAUCGACCAACCGGAAAGAAACCAGGGCCGAAAGGGCCAUGCUAUCCGAUAUUGGAAUGCUGGAGGUUAAGAAGUCGAGUCAGACUACACUUUAUUCGCCUUUCCGGCGAAAGAAACGCUGGGGUGUCACCGGAUCGCGCGUGAUCAAUGGCCUGUGAGCCACAUUUGUUUUGGUCACGUGACGGGAUGUGGGGUCAAGGAAAAACGAUGCAGGUGUUGGAGCUGCAAAUUUAUACAAAAGGUGGCCGGAGGGCUCGUCAAUCUUGCCGCUUUCGAUCAACCCUGUCAUCCUGUGGGCCGGCCAGGCUUUCCUCCCCCACUCGCCCGGCUGGCAGGCGUCCUUCUGGCAGGUGCCCUCCGCUCUGCUCCCGUCCUUUCGCUCGACUUCUUAAUUCCUGUGGCAGCUCCUACCUGCAUUUUCCCCGAUGAUUGGUUUUAUCGCAUUUUCUUCCGGGAAAAGUGGCCCGACAAGAUACUUCGCCAUAGUCGCUUUUCUUCCUUAGCUGGGGGCUGUGACGUAACAAUAGACUAUGACGCAACAAUAGACUGGGUACUCCUAGAAGAUAAGGAUGUUGUCUGAAAUGCUAUUCAUUCUGUCACCGAAAAUUGUCAACACUCAUAUAUUUAUAAACGAUCUUAUUUUAUGCCUACAAAAUAUAUUCAUAAAUUUACAAAUAUCGACAUAACUAUUAAAUCCUAUUUGCCAGAUAACUAAUAAUUAUCAUCAGUUAUCUGGCAACACGAUAAUU
Molecule: long non-coding RNA, 1200 nt
Filed under: Androctonus crassicauda
Lineage: Eukaryota; Metazoa; Arthropoda; Arachnida; Scorpiones; Buthidae
Source: RNAcentral